RNAcentral lists this ribosomal RNA (253 nucleotides) under uncultured bacterium. RNAcentral describes it as "partial 16S ribosomal RNA". It matches the Rfam family "Bacterial small subunit ribosomal RNA", at positions 524 to 776 of the family's 1533-position model. The record is from RNAcentral.
UACGUAGGGUGCAAGCGUUGUCCGGAAUUAUUGGGCGUAAAGAGCUCGUAGGCGGUUUGUUGCGUCGGCUGUGAAAACCCGGGGCUCAACCCCGGGCCUGCAGCCGAUACGGGCAGACUAGAGUUCGGCAGGGGAGACUGGAAUUCCUGGUGUAGCGGUGAAAUGCGCAGAUAUCAGGAGGAACACCGGUGGCGAAGGCGGAUCUCUGGGCCAUUACUGACGCUGAGGAGCGAAAGCGUGGGGAGCGAACAGG